This 72-nucleotide transfer RNA is filed under the name Ovis aries (sheep). It matches the Rfam family "tRNA". From Rfam's summary of the family: Transfer RNA (tRNA) molecules are approximately 80 nucleotides in length. Their secondary structure includes four short double-helical elements and three loops (D, anti-codon, and T loops). The record is from Rfam by way of RNAcentral. Lineage: Eukaryota; Metazoa; Chordata; Mammalia; Artiodactyla; Bovidae.
UCCAUGGUAGCUCAGACGGUAAAGAAUCUGCCUGAAAUGCAGGAGACCCAGGUUCAAUCCCUGGGUCAGGAA